RNAcentral lists this ribosomal RNA (896 nucleotides) under Phyllobacterium sp. RNAcentral describes it as "bacterial SSU rRNA". It matches the Rfam family "Bacterial small subunit ribosomal RNA", at positions 583 to 1533 of the family's 1533-position model. Lineage: Bacteria; Pseudomonadati; Pseudomonadota; Alphaproteobacteria; Hyphomicrobiales; Phyllobacteriaceae. The record is from RNAcentral.
UUAAUCCCGAGGUGAAAUCCCGGGGGUCCAACCCGGAACUGCUUUUAAUAGUAGGAGGCCUGAGUUCGAGAGACGUGAGUGGAAUUCCGAGGGGAGAGGAGAAAUUCGUAGAUAUUCUGAGGGACACCAGUGGCGAAGGCGACUCAUUGGCUAGAUACUGACGCGGAGGCGAGAAAGCGUGGGGAGAAAACAGGAUUAGAUACCCUGGUUGUCCACGCCGUAAACUAUGAGAGCUAGGCGUCGGGCAGUAUACUGUUCGGUGGCGCAGCAAACGCAUUAAGCUCUCCGCCCGGGGAGUACGGUCGCAAGAGUAAAACUCAAAGGAAUUGACGGGGGGCCGCACAAGCGGUGGAGCAUGUGGUUUAAUUCGAAGCAACGCGCAGAACCUUACCAGCCCUUGACAUCCCGAUCGCGGUUACCAGAGAUGGUAUCCUUCAGUUAGGCUGGAUCGGUGACAGGUGCUGCAUGGCUGUCGUCAGCUCGUGUCGUGAGAUGUUGGGUUAAGUCCCGCAACGAGCGCAACCCUCGCCCUUAGUUGCCAUCAUUCAGUUGGGCACUCUAAGGGGACUGCCGGUGAAAAGCCGAGAGGAAGGGGGGGAUGACGACAAGUCCUCAUGGCCCUUACGGGCGGGGCUACACACGUGCUACAAGGGUGGUGACAGUGGGCAGAGAGCCCGCGAGGGCGAGAAAAUCUACAAGCGCCAUCUCAGUUGGGAUUGCACUCUGAAACUCGAGUGCAUGAAGUGGGAAUCGCUAGAAAUCGGGGAUCAGAAUGCCGGGGUGAAUACGUUCGCGUCUUGGGUACACCCCGCCCGCCACAAAACGAAAGAGUACGUAUUAACCCGAAGCGGGCUGAGCUAACCGCAAGGGAAGGGCAGGCCAGCCCAACGGGAGGU